GUGCUCACUUCGGCAACACAUGCGCUAAAAUUGGAACGAAACAGAAGAUUAGCACGGCCCCUGCGCAACGAUGACACGCAAAUUCUGAAGCGUUCCGUGUUUUU
Small nuclear RNA from Cebus imitator (Panamanian white-faced capuchin), 104 nucleotides. The record is from RefSeq and is a predicted model, not a curated record. Lineage: Eukaryota; Metazoa; Chordata; Mammalia; Primates; Cebidae.